Molecule: unclassified non-coding RNA, 200 nt
Filed under: soil metagenome
Description: partial contains internal transcribed spacer 2 and large subunit ribosomal RNA
Source: RNAcentral
UGGGGGGUUGUUUGCAGGCUUUCUGUGAAUGAAGGUCGGCUCCCCUGAAAUGUAUUAGUGGUAUCUGAGGCUACUACUAUAGGUGUGAUAAAUUAUCUAUGCCUUUGGUAUGCCACAUGAACAGAUUACACUGCUUCUAACAAAAAACGAAUGUUGAUAAAUUUGACCUCAAAUCAGGUAGGACUACCCGCUGAACUUAA